UUGUCUUUUGAUGUUUUGAAGGGUGGGGGGUGUUCAUCGCUCAAAUACAACAGCAGCAGAUUUCAAACCUACCAGCAGGCUUGAGAAGAACGACCAGAACAAUGUGUCAGCAGACAGUCUAAUUGAAUGUGUUAAGAAGAAGGACCAUCAGAAGUUGAAGGAGCUGCAUAAGAAGGGGGCAGACCUGUGUGUGCAGGACCCCGUGGGCCGCACCCUGCUCCACUAUGCUGUGGAAGUGGGAAGCAAGGAGAUCGUCAGAUACAUCCUUGAUAAUGCAUCCACCGAUAUCCUGGAUGUAACAGAGAGAGAAAAUGGAGAGACGGUAUUGCACAAAGCGGCCUCGUUGUGUCAGAGGACAAUCUGUCAUUACCUAGUGGAGGCGGGAGCAUCUCUCAUGAAGACAGACUUACAGGGCGACACUCCAAAGCAUCGUGCCGAGAAAGCGAAAGAUGCAGAACUUGCGGCGUAUCUUGAGAACCGGCAGCACUACCAAAUGAUCCAGCGUGAGGACCAGGAGACUGCAGUUUGACCUUUAACCUCUCACCCUUCCCCUCCACGGGCGUCCUCAUUUUUGUGCCAAAACAACAGUAACCAAAAAUGUAUCGCUAAACUGCACGAUGGUGACACAUUCCUAGAGAGAUGGUGGCACACUUUGCUGUCUCUGAAGAGGUCCCGAGCUUUCCUGCUGGACUUAAUGUCUUUCAUUUUAUUGCACUGCCAAAACAUCUUCUAGUUUGUAUGUAUGAGACAGAAUGCAUUGCCCUCUAUGUUACUGCACUCAUCAAGCUUGCUUUUCUAGUUUGACAAUGCUGAAUGUUAAAGGAUUUAAAGAUGCAUGGGCUGGUGAGGACAGUGCUGUGUCUGUCUCCAGAGUUCUCACUGUCUGUAUAAGUGCACCUGGAGCGUUUACCGUAGCCCUGGCUCCACAGCUAGAUUUAGUAUUGCUCUGUUAUGGCUGAGCGUUAAUCUGAUCCGUGCUCCAGAACAUGAACCGGAAACAACAUUUCAGUUAGCUGAUUUCCUAAUAACAGUAAAGCCAUUAAAUGAAAUUAUGUUAAUGUAUAAUGUAACUUUCUAGAUUCCCCUGCACUGGAAGUGUUCAGGUUGGUUCAAACAUAGGAAUGUUUUCUGGGCUCUUGGUUUGCAGUAUCAGAACUAUUUAGAUCUUUUUCCAGUGUGUUAUUGGAAGGAUUUUGCAUUUUCAUAGAAUUCUCUGCUGUUUCUAACUUUAACAUGGUAAUAACAUUCGGUACUGUAAAUGUAUGCGAGUAGCUUUCUGUUUAAGAGGCAUUUGGACUUUAGCUUUGAUUGCCUUCUUUAUUCUGUUCUCUGGAUUUAUAAUUGAUGUACUGAAAUAUAGCUUCUUCCCUACAUUUUUUUUUUUAAGUAAAUAGAUGUUUAUAUAAUUUGUAGUUAUAAAAGAUGUGUUGUCAUGUUUGUAUUAUACAAUUCUGUAAAUUAGAUUUUGGUUAAUGAGAGUUGAGAACAGGUCUCUGUGAUUCAGCUCGCUUUUCUUAAAUCUUUGUGAUAAAAAACACACUCUCUGUAAGAGUUUGUUUUGUUUCAUAUUUUUUUAGUGCUGGUGUCUUAAUGCAGAUUCA
Long non-coding RNA from Carassius carassius (crucian carp), 1601 nucleotides. RefSeq lists it as uncharacterized. The record is from RefSeq and is a predicted model, not a curated record. NCBI's taxonomy places the organism in Eukaryota, Metazoa, Chordata, Actinopteri, Cypriniformes, Cyprinidae. The transcript is spliced from 7 exons.